GCUUGGAAUCCUUUACAAAUCUAUGAACAGAAACCUGAAAAGAGUUUGACAUAUGUUAACUGAGAAUUUAUCAGAAGGAUAAUACUUGCCAUGCAUAUAAUACGAAUGAUUUUUAACUAGCUUUUUUUUGUGGACAGAUACUGGAGCGCUCCUUACAUUUGGUUGGGGGCUUUAUGGACAGCUGAACCCACGUGUUGAGGAGAUCUAAUCAUCAUUGUGUAACUAAGCUUGUCAAAAUAUAUUAUUAUACUAUAUAUCAAAACAUUUUACUAGGGAAAAAUGCUAGUCUGCAUUAAGAUAAGGCUGUAAAAGAUAAUCUAAAACCUCUCUUGCUAUACGUCUGCAACUAAUAUUUGCACUUUCUGUUGGGUAUGUGGAAGUAAUUGAUUUUUUUUUGGGCUCUCUUAAGUGUGGCCAAGGAAGUACAGAUGAUGAAUUGAGUCCAACAUGUGUGUCGUCUUUGUUGGGAAUCCGAAUAGAAGAAGUGGCUGCAGGUCUAUGGCACACGAUAUGCGCUUCAUCUGAUGGGGAUGUGUAUUCGUUUGGUGGAAAUCAAUUUGGACAGUUAGGUACUGGUUGUGAUCAAGCUGAGACUCUUCCAAAAUUAUUGGAGGCUCCAAAUUUGGAAGAGGUAAACGUAAAAACCAUCUCCUGCGGUGCUCGUCACACCGCUGUAAUUGCAGAUGAAGGGAGAGUAUUCUGCUGGGGAUGGAACAAAUAUGGGCAGUUGGGUCUAGGAGAUGUGAUUGACCGGAAUGCUCCAUCAGAGGUUAGAAUCAAAGAUUGUGUUCCCAAAAACAUUGCAUGCGGUUGGUGGCAUACUCUGCUUCUAGGCCAGUCCUCUCUCUGAACAGACUUGACACACUCCAAUUUUUGUUUGUUAGGGGUUUAUUAGAGCAAAAGAUCAGAUUUUUUAGUUGACCCUUUUUUUUUUUUAAUAUACACGUUAGAGGUAUACUACUGUACAUACACCAGCAGCAUUUGUAUGCAAUGUAAGUCUUGACUCUUGAGUAAUCCAGUGAACUUCUUUUUGUUCUAUCAUUAUAUAAAGUUUUCUUUUGGUUAA
Molecule: non-coding RNA, 1066 nt
Organism: Camelina sativa (false flax)
Lineage: Eukaryota; Viridiplantae; Streptophyta; Magnoliopsida; Brassicales; Brassicaceae
Source: RefSeq, a predicted model, not a curated record